RNAcentral lists this transfer RNA (76 nucleotides) under Aciduliprofundum boonei T469. RNAcentral describes it as "tRNA-Gly". It matches the Rfam family "tRNA". Rfam says of the family: Transfer RNA (tRNA) molecules are approximately 80 nucleotides in length. Their secondary structure includes four short double-helical elements and three loops (D, anti-codon, and T loops). The record is from RNAcentral. Lineage: Archaea; Methanobacteriati; Thermoplasmatota.
GCAGGCGUAGUGUAGUCUGGCAGCACAAGGGCCUUCCAAGCCCUUAGCCCGGGUUCAAAUCCCGGCGCCUGCACUA